UACAGAGGGUGCGAGCGUUAAUCGGAAUUACUGGGCGUAAAGCGUGCGUAGACGGUUAUUUAAGUCGGGUGUGAAAGCCCCGGGCUCAACCUGGGAAUUGCAUUCGAGACUGAAUAGCUAGGGUACGGUAGAGGGAAGCGGGAAUUUCCGGUGUAGCGGUGAAAUGCGUAGAUAUCGGAAGGAACAUCAGUGGCGAAAGCGGCUUCCUGGACCAGUACCGACGUUCAGGCACGAAAGCGUGGGGAGCAAACAGGA
Molecule: ribosomal RNA, 255 nt
Filed under: uncultured bacterium
Lineage: Bacteria
Description: partial 16S ribosomal RNA
Rfam family: Bacterial small subunit ribosomal RNA
Source: RNAcentral